Molecule: long non-coding RNA, 665 nt
Organism: Mercurialis annua (annual mercury)
Lineage: Eukaryota; Viridiplantae; Streptophyta; Magnoliopsida; Malpighiales; Euphorbiaceae
Exons: 2
Source: RefSeq, a predicted model, not a curated record
AAUCAGCAGCAGCAUUCUUCGUACAAAUGAAGAGUCCAAUUUGCCAAGAUGAAGCUGAUUGGAUUACCAAAAAUAUAGUGAAUAAAUUGGACUUGCACUAGCAACAUGGCAAAAGAUGACAAUGAGAUUGUGAGAAAAGUAUGUCUUUUAAUUAUCUUGAUAAGUCGCGAGAACAUGUCUAUGCAUUAAGACAAGACAUCAUCAUAUUCAUGGCUGAAUAUAUGCAAAAGUUUGAAGAAUUUACAUCUCAAGGGAAUAGAAGAGUUUGAAUUAGAUGUUCAAAAUUUUGCGUUUGUGUUGUCUAAUGUAAGUGGUGAAAAGAUAGAGUUUGUUAUUCCAAAUGAGUUCGUGGAAGAGUCCGAUGAGAGGUUUGAGUUGAGCUAUACCAGUUGCUAUCAAUGAAUAAGAUUGAAUGGCAGCCUAGCACUUAGUUGGGCAACUUAGCACUUGUACUCUCAAUGAAAAGUUAGGAUAAAAAUUCAUAUGGACAACUAGGAAACAAGAAAGCAACUUAGGCUGCAUCCGCUUCCAUCUUCUAGUCUCUAUUCAUACUUCUCCUUUACAAAAUAGCCUAAUCCAAGACUAUUUAGCUUGUAACUUUAAUAUAACAUGUCACAACAAUGUAUCUACUGGCUGAAACUUUAAUGGUAAACAUCCGUUGUUAA